This is a non-coding RNA of Salmo salar (Atlantic salmon), 68 nucleotides long. Lineage: Eukaryota; Metazoa; Chordata; Actinopteri; Salmoniformes; Salmonidae. The record is from Rfam.
CCCCGUAGCUCAGUCGGUAGAGCAUGGUGUUUGCAACGCCAGGGUUGUGGGUUCGAUUCCCACGGGGG